This 171-nucleotide non-coding RNA is filed under the name Lactococcus garvieae. Its description in RNAcentral is "T-box". It matches the Rfam family "T-box leader". From Rfam's summary of the family: Uncharged tRNA acts as the effector for transcription antitermination of genes in the T-box leader family. T-boxes are found upstream of many aminoacyl-tRNA synthetase genes and some amino acid biosynthetic genes usually in Gram-positive bacteria. The anticodon of a specific tRNA base pairs to a specifier sequence within the T-box motif, and the NCCA acceptor tail of the tRNA base pairs to a conserved bulge in the T-box antiterminator hairpin. The record is from RNAcentral. Lineage: Bacteria; Bacillati; Bacillota; Bacilli; Lactobacillales; Streptococcaceae.
AUAAAAACACUAAAUGAGGAGUAACAAGUCUAGUCUUUGAGAGAGAAAUCGGUCGCUGUGAGAUUUCAGAUGAAACUUGUGAAGGUUGCAUUGUGGUCAGUUAAAUAAAAUUAAGUGUCUGCUUUAAAAAAGGCAGGAAUUUAGGUGGUACCGCGCGUGAGCGUCCUAUUU